UCUACUCGCGCCACUUUCGCAAUCUUACUACGAUUCCCAAAAUCCUAGCAAAUCAUAAUAGUAGCACAUGGUUGUGCACUUUUUGGAGGGGGUUACACGUCUUAGCCGAUGUUUAAUCUGUGAAGUCUGUGUUCUUUUUUUUAAAUUUUGCAGAUGUCCAAGAAACUGGGUAAACGAACCCCAUUCACAUCUGUCUCCUGGGCAGUCGUCACUGUGGCUUUAAAGGCACAGUAAUGCAGUCUGUGAGGAGAACGUCACACGAGCAGUUUACAGUCACUGUAGUGCCAAAGUGCUUACAGUGCAGGUAGUUUUGUUCAAUUCUACUGCAGUGAAGGCACUUUCAGCACUCUUCUGAUAAUAUUAACUGAAGGAAGCUGACUUGUUCAUAAACACAGCCUUUAUGUUGCAAGUCCUAAGUAGACUGAAUCCACAUACACUUGUAAAUAGACAUCUGGCAAGACCUUGUCGUCUUGCUGUGAGGCUCAGCCCCCUGAUGUUCUGGAGCAAAGCAGCUGUGUAAGAAGCAAACAUGCUAAAUGGUUGUUAGAUGUUGUAUAUCACUGUGGAAAAGUGCACAGAAUUGGAGCAGCUGCUGAUUUGUUUUUGUAUUUUUAUUUGACUUUAUGUAUGAGGAGAGGAGUCUUAAAAAAUUGUUACCUGGCAAAAUGUGACUACUACUAGUACUUAUGCUAAGGUGCAUCUAGUGCAGAUAGUGAAGUAGACUAGCACCUACUGCCCUAAGUGCUCCUUCUGGCAUAAGGGGCUGGGACUCUCAUCUGCCAUGUAUCUCUGUAUGCAUACAUGUGAGAGUGAGAGUUUGGGUUUUUUGAAGUAUAUUUGCAUGGACACUCUUAAUCUUAAUUGUGGCUGUCCUCCGUUAGUUUUGCGUAGUUGCGCUGCAAGAAGAAAUAAGUUGUGCAAAUCUAUGCAAAACUGACGGUGGCCUGCGUUUCCAUCCAAAUCCUCUUUGCGCAUCGUCUAUGAAAGAACAGUCACAGUCUGGUUUCCAGUGCACCUCUGUCAAUAAUGUAAAGACAAGGUUUCAGUAGUAUUAAAGUGCUUAUAGUGCAGGUAGUCUUCUUACUGUUUAAAUUCUACUGCAAUGUGAGCACUUCAAGUACUCCUAGACUACGUCGUCUUGGGAAAACUGCAGGGGUAGCUUAUGCACGUGGGUCUCUGGUUAGUUUUGCUGGUUUGCUUUCAGCUUUUAAAUGUACUGCUGUGCAAAUCCAUGCAAAACUGAUCAUAGAACUGAAAAUAAUCUAUCAGAAGUGAUCCCUUUCUGUGCAGGUUGGGAGAGGUGGCAAUGCUCUGUGCUUGUGUGGUAUUGCACUUGUCCCGGCCUGUUGAGGACACUGGGAAUUGUUCUGCAAGUUCUCCCAGGAUACUUUCUUAAAAUCUGAAUUUGAUUAUAAUCUGUUUUUUUUUUUUGUUUGUUUUGUUUUCUAUGCGCACCUAUUCCUAACAAGCUUUUAAAUGUAGGUCACUUGAGAGUUGAGGAAAUUUCUUGCUUAGAGCACCUUGUCAUAUAUCUAAGGAAAUAUUUACUGUAUGCAAUGUAAAUACAAUAAUUUAUGAAUAAAUACUUAAAUGAC
This is a long non-coding RNA of Maylandia zebra (zebra mbuna), 1595 nucleotides long. RefSeq lists it as uncharacterized. Lineage: Eukaryota; Metazoa; Chordata; Actinopteri; Cichliformes; Cichlidae. The record is from RefSeq and is a predicted model, not a curated record.